RNAcentral lists this ribosomal RNA (497 nucleotides) under uncultured bacterium. RNAcentral describes it as "partial 16S ribosomal RNA". It matches the Rfam family "Bacterial small subunit ribosomal RNA", at positions 28 to 507 of the family's 1533-position model. The record is from RNAcentral.
GAUGAACGCUGGCGGCGUGCCUAAUACAUGCAAGUCGAGCGAACAGACGAGACGCUUGCUCCUCUGACGUUAGCGGCGGACGGGUGAGUAACACGUGGAUAACCUACCUAUAAGACUGGGAUAACUUCGGGAAACCGGAGCUAAUACCGGAUAAUAUAUUGAACCGCAUGGUUCAAUAGUGAAAGACGGUUUUGCUGUCACUUAUAGAUGGAUCCGCGCCGCAUUAGCUAGUUGGUAAGGUAACGGCUUACCAAGGCAACGAUGCGUAGCCGACCUGAGAGGGUGAUCGGCCACACUGGAACUGAGACACGGUCCAGACUCCUACGGGAGGCAGCAGUAGGGAAUCUUCCGCAAUGGGCGAAAGCUUGACGGAGCAACGCCGCGUGAGUGAUGAAGGUCUUCGGAUCGUAAAACUCUGUUAUUAGGGAAGAACAAAUGUGUAAGUAACUAUGCACGUCUUGACGGUACCUAAUCAGAAAGCCACGGCUAACUACGUG